GGGGUUGUAGCUCAGUGGUAGAGCACUUGCCUAGCAGGUAUGAGGCACUGGGUUCACUUGUUAGCACCA
RNAcentral lists this transfer RNA (69 nucleotides) under Ictidomys tridecemlineatus (thirteen-lined ground squirrel). Its description in RNAcentral is "Spermophilus tridecemlineatus (thirteen-lined ground squirrel) tRNA". It matches the Rfam family "tRNA". Rfam says of the family: Transfer RNA (tRNA) molecules are approximately 80 nucleotides in length. Their secondary structure includes four short double-helical elements and three loops (D, anti-codon, and T loops). Further hydrogen bonds mediate the characteristic L-shaped molecular structure. tRNAs have two regions of fundamental functional importance: the anti-codon, which is responsible for specific mRNA codon recognition, and the 3' end, to which the tRNAs corresponding amino acid is attached (by aminoacyl-tRNA synthetases). tRNAs cope with the degeneracy of the genetic code in two manners: having more than one tRNA (with a specific anti-codon) for a particular amino acid; and 'wobble' base-pairing, i.e. permitting non-standard base-pairing at the 3rd anti-codon position. Lineage: Eukaryota; Metazoa; Chordata; Mammalia; Rodentia; Sciuridae. The record is from Rfam by way of RNAcentral.